AUACGGAGGGUCCGAGCGUUAUCCGGAUUUAUUGGGUUUAAAGGGUGCGCAGGCGGCCAUUUAAGUCAGCGGUUAAAUCGUGGGGCUCAACCCCAUUCUGCCGUUGAUACUGGGUGGCUUGAUUGCGGUCGAGGUUGGCGGAAUUCGUUGUGUAGCGGUGAAAUGCAUAGAUAUGACGAAGAACACCGAUUGCGUAGGCAGCUGACCGGAUCGCAAAUGACGCUCAUGCACGAAAGUGCGGGGAUCGAACAGGAUUAGAUACCCUGGUAGUCCGCACAGUAAACGAUGAAUACUUGUUUUCGGCGAUAUAAUGUCGGAGGCAAAGCGAAAGCGAUAAGUAUUCCACCUGGGGAGUACGCCGGCAACGGUGAAACUCAAAGGAAUUGACGGGG
This 392-nucleotide ribosomal RNA is filed under the name uncultured bacterium. RNAcentral's name for it is "partial 16S ribosomal RNA". It matches the Rfam family "Bacterial small subunit ribosomal RNA", at positions 523 to 918 of the family's 1533-position model. The record is from RNAcentral.